Molecule: long non-coding RNA, 826 nt
Filed under: Homo sapiens (human)
Lineage: Eukaryota; Metazoa; Chordata; Mammalia; Primates; Hominidae
Description: HSALNT0152068
Source: RNAcentral
GAAAGUGAAAGGGGAAAAGCAGUGGUCAGCAGGCAUAUGAACAGAUUAUCAGCCAAUCUCAUAGCUCUGAGAUGGUGCAAAACUAAGAUGUCAUCUCUUCCCUUUCAUUUAUUUGUAUUCUUUCUUGUUUUGUAGUGGAACUGUUUAAGGCCUAGAAUUUUUCCCUGAGUGUAAGCUAACCAAGUGUUAUGGAUUAUGAUACAUACUUUUUUUUAAAGUACUACUUUGUAAGUAUUGCACAAAUUUGAUUUUGAGUCCCUCUUUGGGGCCAGAUCUGCUUAUUGUACAAGAGAAAGUUAAAUGUCUUUUGAUGUUUGCGUUUUUCUGUUUGUUAAUUUUCCUUUAUUUCUCAUUAAUACAGUGUAAUCUGAAAAUGUUACCUGAACUAUUUCUACUUUAUAGAAUUUUUUUUGAAGUUUCAUUUGGGGCUUUAUCUAUAAUCAAAUUACCUGAGGAGCAUGUGAAAGCUCAGAUUCCUGGGUGUUGCUCCGGACUUGCUAACAUAGAAGCUUCUGGAUGGCAGUUUUAGGCACAUCACAGACAAUUCCGGUGCACGGUGCAUUUUCAAGGCCACUGUCUAUGUUCUUACUGAAUUUUUCUCUACUUGAUCUGUCAGUAGCUGACAAGUGAGUUAAUGUCUCCUACGGCUGUUGUAUUUCCAUGUCUCCCUGUGUUUCCUUCAGUUUUUGCUUUAUAAAUUUUGAUAAUAGAUUAUUUGGAAUGUGGAGAUUCAUGAUCAUUUUGUAUACCCUAAAUAUACAUAGUGUUUACUUUUUUUUUUUUAGAUGAAGUCUCGCUCUGUUGCCGAGGUUGGAGUGCAGUGGCG